GCCCGCUUGGCUCAGUUGGUUAGAGCGCAGGUCUCAUAUACAAAUAUGAGUAAUCAUUCGGUUACGCAAUCCUGAGGUCGCAAGUUCGAACCUUGCAGCGGGCA
Non-coding RNA from Gyrodon lividus, 104 nucleotides. The record is from the annotation of a GenBank genome assembly. Lineage: Eukaryota; Fungi; Basidiomycota; Agaricomycetes; Boletales; Gyrodontaceae.